GGACCCGCACAAGCGGUGGAGCAUGUGGUUUAAUUCGAAGCAACGCGAAGAACCUUACCUGAUCUUGACAUCCCGGUGAUAUAAGGGUAAUGCCUUAGUUCCUACGGGACACCGGUGACAGGUGGUGCAUGGUUGUCGUCAGCUCGUGUCGUGAGAUGUUGGGUUAAGUUCCGCAACGAGCGCAACCCCUAUCAUUAGUAGCCAGCACGUAAAGGUGGGCACUCUAAAGAGACUGCCAGGGACAACUUGGAGGAAGGUGGGGAUGACGUCAAAUCAUCAUGCCCCUUACGACCAGGGCUACACACGUGCUACAAUGGCGUAAACAAAGGGAAGCGACCCCGUGAGGGCGAGCAAAUCUCAAAAAUAACGUCUCAGUUCGGAUUGUAGUCUGCAACUCGACUACAUGAAGCUGGAAUCGCUAGUAAUCGCGAAUCAGCAUGUCG
RNAcentral lists this ribosomal RNA (443 nucleotides) under uncultured Bacillota bacterium. RNAcentral's name for it is "bacterial SSU rRNA". It matches the Rfam family "Bacterial small subunit ribosomal RNA", at positions 917 to 1359 of the family's 1533-position model. Lineage: Bacteria; Bacillati; Bacillota. The record is from RNAcentral.